CUACGGGGUGCUCCAGUGGGGAAUAUUGCACAAUGGGCGCAAGCCUGAUGCAGCAACGCCGCGUGAGGGAUGAAGGCCUUCGGGUUGUAAACCUCUUUUAGCAGGGAAGAAGCGAAAGUGACGGUACCUGCAGAAAAAGCACCGGCUAACUACGUGCCAGCAGCCGCGGUAAUACGUAGGGUGCAAGCGUUGUCCGGAAUUAUUGGGCGUAAAGAGCUCGUAGGCGGUUUGUCAUGUCUGCUGUGAAAAUCCAAGGCUCAACCUUGGACUUGCAGUGGGUACGGGCAGGCUAGAGUGCGGUAGGGGAGAUGGGAAUUCCUGGUGUAGCGGUGGAAUGCGCAGAUAUCAGGAGGAACACCAAUGGCGAAGGCACAUCUCUGGGCCGUAACUGACGCUGAGGAGCGAAAGCGUGGGGAGCGAACAGGAUUAGAUACCCGGGUAGUC
This 444-nucleotide ribosomal RNA is filed under the name uncultured bacterium. Its description in RNAcentral is "partial 16S ribosomal RNA". It matches the Rfam family "Bacterial small subunit ribosomal RNA", at positions 339 to 795 of the family's 1533-position model. The record is from RNAcentral.